CAGGCUAGUCUCAAACUCCUGACCUCAGGUGAUCUGCCCACCUCAGCCUUCCUAAAUGCUGGGAUUACAGGUGUGAGCACCGCACCUGACUACAAUAGUUGCUCUUAUCUUUUGAGUUCUCAAGGUAUGUGAGGACAUAACACUUGCAUCUAAGAAUCUUAUAAAAGGGGAGAAGACUAAAUAGAAUACGGUUAAGAAAAAUACUGACAGAGAUGCGGAGAGUUAAUUCAGUGAAAUCAUAGAAGGUGAUGAAAGGCUUUCCUGAAGAAGUAAAUAUAAAAGUUAGCUAAAUGUAGAAAAUAGUUAAAAGCAAUCUCAGAUAGAAAGAACAGCAUAUUCAGGGUACAGAAGUAAGACCCAGCACAACGCAUUCUGGCAACUGUCCUUGUUGACAAACACAGGGGCGAUUCACAUUAUUUUACAUAUCCCAGAGCCUACCAUAGUGCCUGGUUCUUGGUAGACACUCAAAUGUUAGAUGAAUAUAUACCUAAAGUGGCAUCAGUAUGUGACAUCAUUCAAGGGAGAGAUCAUGAAGAACUCAGAAACCCAUUCAUAGGAGCUCACAGUUUAUCUGGGAAGCAGUGAGGAGCCAUAAAAAAAUUGGAGUAUGAGAAUAACACAAUUUGUUAUUUUAGAAAGGUUCUUUGGCAGCUCAGUAAAAGAUGGAUUGGGGUUUUAAGGAGGAGAGAGUAAAUGAAGGGAAUCUGAAUGUAUGUGCAUGAACAUACAUAUAUACAUGCUUGUGAGUAGGCAUUGGGUAAUGGUGGUGAGAGUGUUCUGGAGUUGAACUGGUGAUAUUGAGUUUACCUAGGAGGCUUCUGAAAUAAUACAAGGAAGAAAUGUUUAGUGUGAACUCAGACAAUGACUGUAGGCCUGAUAAGCAAGGGAUGAAUUUGAGAGUGAUUUAGGAGAUGGAAUAAACAGUACAUAGUGUCCAGUUGUAAGAAGUACUUGAGGAGGUAACAUCCUGGAUGACUCCUAGAUGGAAAAAUAGGUGUGUGUUCUAUUUUGUUCAGGUUUUUUUUUCCAGGAAGCUAAGAUGUCUCAUGACUAUUUGUGGUUGAACACAACUAAGGAACCUCUAUUUCUUAGGAGACGAGAGCUAAAUGAGAGCUAAAAAUACACUUUUUCUAUUUUAGAGUAUAGAUUGUAUUCUCUAGUAGAGCUUGAACGAACUUUGAACUCAAACUUUGGUUGGAAUCUUGGUUCUCACAUUACUAGUAGCUAUGUGCUUUAAAACAAAUUAUUUAGUUUCACUAAGACUCGGCUUACUCAUUUGUAAAGUUGGGAGAAUAAUAGCCUUUUAAGUUUAUACUUAAAUGAGAUGAGCUUCUGGGUCUAGAAAAUAAUGGCAACUUUCCAAAUCUAAAUCUCUCUACAUGUCCUCCCCAAAAGCUGCUAGAACAAAAGGACUCCACACACAUACACACACACAUAUACACACACAAACCAUACAAAACUCACACUUGCAGCACUACUACAAGACAGAUGAUACCAUGAAUUUUUAAAUUUCCUUUAUGUUAAGAAAAUAGCACAUUACAGUGGUUCAUUUUGCUGCUACAAACCUGUGAGUGGGAAAAGUUGAGUAAGGAGAGGCUUAAAAGACCAAGAAAAGAGGAGAGGGAACAGAGGUUAAAAUAAAGCACAGGCAAAAUCACCCUGAGAAAAAAUCCCCAACAUUGCCAAAUACAAAGACCAGCCUAGGUCUUGGUAAUUUAUAUAACUACCUGCAGGAAGCUGUAUGAAAGUGGGAGGGACCAGAAGUAGCAGCUUCAGAGUAGUAUUGCUUCUAGAAGAAGAGACAGAGAAAAGGUGAUACCUCUUGGAAGCAUGGCAGCAAGGGCAAAGAAGGACGUGAGGAGAAAAUUGAGGCUGCUAGAGAAAUAAAAGAGAAAUAAGGCAUGGCAACCCAUCCCCUCACUCAACAGCUCCACCAUAACACAUUCGUUGUAGGCACUUCUCUUUACUAAGCUGCAGAAGUGAAUGCUCUCAAACUAAAUACCCAAGAACCCUAUUCACAAAAUGCUCAAGAAUAGAAAUGAAUUAAAUGCUAUACAAAGCUACUUUAAGAGGAAUACAGAAAUUUAAAUGAAAGUGUUUCUGUUGAUAAAACUUCUUCCCCAAAAAGCAAAUACAAAGGGGAAGUGCAUCUCAGUGCUCCAACCAAAUAAAAUAUUCUCAAACAAAUCUGUGAACAUACUACAAAAACCACAGACUUAGAAGAAGCAGAAAUCCAAACUCUGAGAUG
Molecule: long non-coding RNA, 2248 nt
Organism: Sapajus apella (tufted capuchin)
Lineage: Eukaryota; Metazoa; Chordata; Mammalia; Primates; Cebidae
Exons: 2
Source: RefSeq, a predicted model, not a curated record